RNAcentral lists this ribosomal RNA (497 nucleotides) under uncultured bacterium. Its description in RNAcentral is "partial 16S ribosomal RNA". It matches the Rfam family "Bacterial small subunit ribosomal RNA", at positions 28 to 507 of the family's 1533-position model. The record is from RNAcentral.
GACGAACGCUGGCGGCGUGCCUAAUACAUGCAAGUAGAACGCUGAAGAGAGGAGCUUGCUCUUCUUGGAUGAGUUGCGAACGGGUGAGUAACGCGUAGGUAACCUGCCUUGUAGCGGGGGAUAACUAUUGGAAACGAUAGCCAAUACCGCAUAACAAUGGAUGACACAUGUCAUUUAUUUGAAAGGGGCAAUUGCUCCACUACAAGAUGGACCUGCGUUGUAUUAGCUAGUAGGUGAGGUAAUGGCUCACCUAGGCGACGAUACAUAGCCGACCUGAGAGGGUGGUCGGCCACACUGGGACUGAGACACGGCCCAGACUCCUACGGGAGGCAGCAGUAGGGAAUCUUCGGCAAUGGGGGCAACCCUGACCGAGCAACGCCGCGUGAGUGAAGAAGGUUUUCGGAUCGUAAAGCUCUGUUGUAAGUCAAGAACGGGUGUGAGAGUGGAAAGUUCACACUGUGACGGUAGCUUACCAGAAAGGGACGGCUAACUACGUG